UUUCCGUAGGUGAACCUGCGGAAGGAUCAUUACGGUGUUUGGGCCUCACGGAUCUUCAUUCCGACGCUGUGCGCCUUCGGGCUGCACGCUGAGGGAGCAUAUACCCACCUCUGUGCACACACACGGUGGCGAGCUGGGUAACGGCUUGCUGCUGUUCUUUACACACGUCUAAAAGUCAUUGUAUGUUUAUUUGUGAUAACAACACAACUUUCAGCAACGGAUCUCUUGGCUCUC
This 234-nucleotide unclassified non-coding RNA is filed under the name plant metagenome. RNAcentral's name for it is "partial contains small subunit ribosomal RNA, internal transcribed spacer 1, and 5.8S ribosomal RNA". The record is from RNAcentral.